UGGGGAAUCUUGCACAAUGGGCGAAAGCCUGAUGCAGCAACGCCGCGUGCGGGAAGAAGGCCCUAGGGUUGUAAACCGCUUUCAGUAGGGAAGAAAAUGACGGUACCUACAGAAGAAGGUGCGGCCAACUACGUGCCAGCAGCCGCGGUGACACGUAGGCACCAAGCGUUAUCCGGAUUUAUUGGGCGUAAAGAGCUCGUAGGCGGUUCGGUAAGUCGGGUGUGAAAACUCUGGGCUCAACCCAGAGAGGCCACCCGAUACUGCUGUGACUAGAGUGCGGUAGGGGAGCGGGGGAAUUCCUGGUGUAGCGGUGAAAUGCGCAGAUAUCAGGAGGAACACCAGCGGCGAAGGCGCCGCUCUGGGCCGUAACUGACGCUGAGGAGCGAAAGCAUGGGUAGCAAACAGGAUUAGAUACCCUGGUAGUCCAUGCCGUAAACGUUGGGCACUAGGUGUGGGUCUCAACCAACGAGAUCCGCGCCGUCGCUAACGCAUUAAGUC
Molecule: ribosomal RNA, 498 nt
Filed under: uncultured Actinomycetes bacterium
Lineage: Bacteria; Bacillati; Actinomycetota; Actinomycetes
Description: bacterial SSU rRNA
Rfam family: Bacterial small subunit ribosomal RNA
Source: RNAcentral